AUACUCUGGUUUCUCUUUAGAUCGAAUAAAGCUUUUGCCUUUAUUAAAGAUUCCAUGGAGAAGAUCAUCCAUGAGUUUUCAAGGGUCUUUUGAAAGCUCUGCCCCUUGCAGGGUA
Bombina bombina (fire-bellied toad) is the source of this 115-nucleotide small nuclear RNA. RefSeq annotates it as U5 spliceosomal RNA. NCBI's taxonomy places the organism in Eukaryota, Metazoa, Chordata, Amphibia, Anura, Bombinatoridae. The record is from RefSeq and is a predicted model, not a curated record. The transcript has a single exon.